GGGGUGAGGAAAGCGGCCAGGCAAGGAAGCCUUCUGAUUUUCCGCAGGUCUUGUAUUUGGCAGUGCCAACCAACAUACUGAGCUAUUUCCUGAUUGCCCGGGAGUGUAUCCAGCCUUGCUGCCCCCAUAUCAGGGUUCACAGUACCCAGACUUAACCCCUGCAAAAAACUCCGCCCUUCAAACCAGCAUCAGUGAAUAGAAAAAAAUGUUUCACUAGUCAGUCAUCAGCGCUACAGACUGGGAACAGCUCAAGCCUUUCAUGAGAGUUCUUCCUUUGGGGGUUUGUAUGUGUCAUCUCAUUAGAGGAGUUUGCCAGCUCCUACAUCGGCAGUCUCCACCCCGUAGACACACUGCAGUAUAAUAGACAGACUCUGAUAUUAAGAAAUGGAGAUUACAGGUGUAGAAAAUGUGACUUCCCAGAGUCACCAACAGUACAAAAAGUUGAGAUGCAGGAAUGUUAUACAGAGCAAACUUCUAAAUGCCCAGCACGGUAAUAAGAUAGGUCCCACCUUCACGGGGUCGCUAGGCAACAUGCAUGCCAGCAAGCACCACUGUAGGUUUACCUGUAGCAUCGGUAGAUUGGCUCAAUGGGAAGCUGAGGUUAAAUUCCACUGAGGCUGCACUUUGAAGAAGCAUAAUAAAUUUGUGGUAGUGCUGUCUCCCCUGUGAGGAAUACGCCUCGAUAGUUGGCAUUCACAUUCUCUUUCUCAAAUUGCUUCUAAAAGCAUUAUUCUGUCCGGAAUGACAGAAAUCCCUGAGGUUGCCGGAUCAGGCCUGGAAACCACCUUGGGAUUCAGACACCAGGAGAGGUGACCUUGAGUCCAGGGUUGGCUAUGAGCAUGGGAACCCUUGGGGACUUUUUCCGUAAAGUAAGAAGCCUCGAAUAGAAGAUUUGAAAGGCUCCUUUCAGCUCAGAUAAGGUAAAAUGUUUUGAAAAAGCUUUCUAAGAUGUUUGAGUCAAAAAAAACGUAUGUGAGAGAAUGCAUUAUGGAAUUUGCUCUCAAUGUAUUCUACUUAAAAUGUCAGUAUUCUCUCUGUACUUUGGGAUAUCUGUUUAUUGUGUUAUAUUUUUAAUGGAAGCUAUAAAAUAUUAGGUGACAUAUAUUAUACUGCACAUUAGACUUAUGGGUCUUAGAGAAACAUCUUGAUAAAGAAGGCAACGGAUACACUCAAGUGAAAAGUCAUCUUAACGAGGCCCUUCUGUUCUUUGUGGUACAUCAGGAACAAAGAUGUAUUGGAAUAAACCUUGCUGACUAACUCCAGACUAUUCUGUAUUUGCAUAGCAUUGACAGACAUACUAGUGGUUUUAUUUAUUUAUUUUCAAUCAGAUGCUUAGAACGAGAUUAGUAAAAAUCUUUCUUUUCACAACUCUCUGUCGCCACCUUGCCAUUUUUAAUUUGGUCUCCUUUUUAAUUAAAACAUUAAUAGUUACUC
Molecule: long non-coding RNA, 1434 nt
Filed under: Mus pahari (shrew mouse)
Lineage: Eukaryota; Metazoa; Chordata; Mammalia; Rodentia; Muridae
Description: lncRNA (MGP_PahariEiJ_G0003055.1)
Source: RNAcentral